This is a non-coding RNA of Bombyx mori (domestic silkworm), 109 nucleotides long. The record is from RefSeq and is marked provisional. Lineage: Eukaryota; Metazoa; Arthropoda; Insecta; Lepidoptera; Bombycidae.
ACAGUGCGGUAUCCGUGAACCGCCCUGACCGCAAUGGCGCGCUGCGGAUGUCGCAACGAUGAGACGUUGUCGCGGGUCAGGGCGUGGCACCAAAUGGGACCCCCGUACA